This 25-nucleotide unclassified non-coding RNA is filed under the name Mus musculus (house mouse). Its description in RNAcentral is "oocyte_clustered_small_RNA13965". Lineage: Eukaryota; Metazoa; Chordata; Mammalia; Rodentia; Muridae. The record is from RNAcentral.
UGUGUUCAGAACCACGGCAUGGAGA